CUGGCUUCMGGUCGGGGACAACAGUUGGAAACGACUGCUAAUACCGGAUAUGCCGAGAGGUGAAAGAUUAAUUGCCUGGAGAUGARCUCGCGUCUGAUUAGCUAGUUGGUGGGGUAAGARCCUACCAAGGSGACGAUCAGUAGCUGGUCUGARAGGAUGAUCAGCCMCACUGGGACUGARACACGGCCCARACUCCUACGGGAGGCAGCAGUGGGGAAUUUUCCSCAAUGGGCGAAAGCCUGACGGARCMAUACCSCGUGAGGGAGGAAGGCUCUUGGGUCGUAAACCUCUUUUCUCAGGAAAAAAAAAAUGACGGUACCUGAGGAAUAAGCAUCSGCUAACUCCGUG
This 348-nucleotide ribosomal RNA is filed under the name Cylindrospermum sp. IMU04. Its description in RNAcentral is "partial 16S ribosomal RNA". It matches the Rfam family "Bacterial small subunit ribosomal RNA", at positions 126 to 507 of the family's 1533-position model. The record is from RNAcentral. Lineage: Bacteria; Bacillati; Cyanobacteriota; Cyanophyceae; Nostocales; Nostocaceae.